This 468-nucleotide ribosomal RNA is filed under the name Bradyrhizobium sp. cna3. Its description in RNAcentral is "bacterial LSU rRNA". It matches the Rfam family "Bacterial large subunit ribosomal RNA", at positions 61 to 491 of the family's 2925-position model. Lineage: Bacteria; Pseudomonadati; Pseudomonadota; Alphaproteobacteria; Hyphomicrobiales; Nitrobacteraceae. The record is from RNAcentral.
CUACGCUGCGAUAAGCCGUGGGGAGCUGCGAAGAAGCUUUGAUCCACGGAUUUCCGAAUGGGGAAACCCACCUUCGAUAGCCGGAACUCCAAGACCUUGUGUUUUGGGGUUCGACCAGAAAUGGAAGAAAUCAGACCGCGAGGUUUUGGAUUUCCGGUUAUCAAGAGAAGGUAUGAGACUUCCGAAUAAAAUAGGAGGUUUUAAGCAAACCCAGGGAACUGAAACAUCUAAGUACCUGGAGGAAAGGACAUCAAUCGAGACUCCGUUAGUAGUGGCGAGCGAACGCGGAUCAGGCCAGUGAUACAUCAAAGACAAUCGGAACCUGUCAGGAAAGCAGGGCCUCAGAGGGUGAUAGCCCCGUACGAGUAAUGCGAUGAUGUAUCCACGAGUAAGGCGGGACACGUGUAAUCCUGUCUGAACACGGGGGGACCACCCUCCAAGCCUAAGUACUCCUCAGCGACCGAUAGU